UGCUGAUCUGUGGUUCAUCUCCUCUUUCCUGGUGUUUGGAUUUCUUUUCGGUGGCUGAUAGUUCAGCUAUAUAAAAAACAACUAUAAAACACUGCAGACAUCAGAGCUGAUGGUUUCCAUAUGGGAGGUGUUUUUGUGAGAAGCAUCAUCAGCAGAGACUGGAGGGUUCACAUGUUCACAUCUCUGCAGGACAGUGUCACUUCCUCCUUCUGCUUCGGUUCGUGUAUCCCUGCAGACAGGAGCACACGUUGUUCCUGAUGCACAGACCGCCGUUCUUACAGGGAGGACUGCAAACGGCUGAAACCGUGAGGACACUCGCAGGUGUUUGGCCGAACACACACACCUCCGUUGAAACACACGGGAGAGCAGAGAGCUGCAGAGAGAGACGAGGGCAUCAGCAUUAAGAGAAAACCUGGUUUCACCAAAUGACCACCACCAAUUGGUUGUUUGGAUGACAAAUUGUUUUUUGUCUGAUCUUUUGGAAAAUACAUCAGGAGUGUUUGCAGUUUUGGGGAACUAUUUAACUGGUACAAAUCUCAACAGCAACACAUGGUGAGUGAGCAGCCCCGCCGGACACUCGCACCUGUACCCGAUGGCCGUGUUGACGCACUUGCCGACCGUGCACGGCGCUGACAGACAUUCGUCCACGUCCUCGCCGCAGAGGGCGCCCUGCUUCCCCUCAGGACAUACACACAGAUCUACCUGCACAGUGAAGGUGCUCUGGGCAUUGCACUCGUCCGACAGCGCGAAUCGAAAGGAGCGCCUCGAUUGACGUCCCUCCUCCUCAGGAAACAUUGGGACCCUCCAGAUAAGGAGGCCAGCAGGAGAGAGGGCGGCCCCAUUCGGCCCCUCCUCCAGCUGGAAGAGGAGUGCUGAGCCCUCGGGGUCCGAUGCAGCAAACUGGAAGACGAAGUUCUCCCCGGCAAAUGUCCGCAGGUCGCCUUGAGGCUGGUGGAAGGCCGGCGGCUCGUUGACUGAAGAGAGAGGAGGAAAAACUUCAGAAAGAGGCUUAAUGGUUAAGCGACAGGUCAGGGCAUGCUGGGAAACUUAAACCUCCGCUCCUUUGAUCUGCUAAUGCGGACAAACAGGACCACAGUUGGACGGAUACCAAGACCAGGUGAAUUUGGAGGUGUCCGGGUUACAGAGGAGGCAGGGGCUGCUGGGGCUGGAGUCUCCCUCUGCGAAACACAUCCCGUCGAUGUUACACGUCCUCUCCUGGCCCCCAGACACAGAGUGGAAAGAAAAGUCUGACCUGGGUCGUGGACGCUCACAGCCAGAGGAACUCCACACUGAUGGCCGUGGUCCAGGCCGUAGCAGGGGAUGGGCACCGUGCUGUGGACCGUCACCUCGUGCUCUUUACUGUUCUCUGCUAUGAGGAGCGAGUCUGCAGAAAACUGAAAAGAGAGAGAGUAUAGAGAACCAGUGAAUAUGACACACGCUGCCUCUCCGCCUUCUCUUUGUAAGGCUGAACCCAGCCGUAAAGAGGUCAGCAUGAUCCAUGGCUUACUUUGCCCACUCGAGGGGUCAAACUCGCCACAUGUGCUCCCCAAAACUUUCAGCACCGUCUGGCAGGAAUUACCGUUUCUCCGAGCCUGAAGUGAACGCCAUCCAUCUCUACCAGAGAGAAGGGCUUCAGAGUGGAUUCUUGUCUGAUCUCAGCCUUCAUGCUGUGGCCGAUGUGUCUGGCCCAAACCACCUGGAAGCCCAGCGGCUGACUCCACGGCGGCGGGACGAAGGAGCACCUCAGGUGGACGCUGUUGCCGAUGAGCUCCGGGGUGAUCACCGGCCGGGAUGAUCUGCCAAAUUACUCAAGAGGAAAUGAAAACUGAAGAAUCUCUUUAUCUGUGACCCAGUCCUGCUGUUUGGUUGUGAGCAGGACGGGUCAGCGAGGACAGACGUGAUAAUGAUAGACGAAACAAAAGCAGCUCAUGUCGUCGUGGGAAACCGCACAAAAACCUGAAUGUCCUUGACUUGACUGAGAAAUGAUCUCUCUCACAGGACACUGGAGGUCCAUCUAACCUCUGGACCUGCUGAGUGACAGGAAUGCAGCCUCACAGGCCAAGUCUGCAGCUCUGCAGGAUCUGCUGCUCUUAACUGG
Molecule: long non-coding RNA, 2098 nt
Organism: Centropristis striata (black sea bass)
Lineage: Eukaryota; Metazoa; Chordata; Actinopteri; Perciformes; Serranidae
Exons: 13
Source: RefSeq, a predicted model, not a curated record